This 78-nucleotide non-coding RNA is filed under the name Burkholderiales bacterium. The record is from RNAcentral. Lineage: Bacteria; Pseudomonadati; Pseudomonadota; Betaproteobacteria; Burkholderiales.
CGGUCUCAUCGCGCCGAUUUGAGGAUCAGCUUGCGGGCGCGUUACAAGUACGGCUAAAGCGGCCAGGUUCACGCCCGA